UACGGGGGGGGCAAGCGUUGUUCGGAAUUACUGGGCGUAAAGGGUUCGUAGGUGGCCAACUAAGUCAGACGUGAAAUCCCUCAGCUUAACUGGGGAACUGCGUCUGAUACUGGUUGGCUUGAGUGCAGGAGAGGAAUGCGGAAUUCCAGGUGUAGCGGUGAAAUGCGUAGAUAUCAGGAGGAACACCGGUGGUGUAAGCGGCUCUCUGGACCGUAACUGACGCUGAGGCACGAAAGCGUGGGUAGCAAACAGG
This 253-nucleotide ribosomal RNA is filed under the name uncultured bacterium. RNAcentral describes it as "partial 16S ribosomal RNA". It matches the Rfam family "Bacterial small subunit ribosomal RNA", at positions 524 to 776 of the family's 1533-position model. The record is from RNAcentral.